Molecule: long non-coding RNA, 205 nt
Filed under: Brassica napus (rape)
Lineage: Eukaryota; Viridiplantae; Streptophyta; Magnoliopsida; Brassicales; Brassicaceae
Description: long non-coding RNA (BNAP_LNC004203)
Source: RNAcentral
AAAUAGAUAAUCAAUGUUUUGAAAAUUGUACCGAACAUUGAUUUAGCAUUGUAAAUAAGUCAAUGAUCAGGUCCGUCCACUCAAUUAAACCAAAUUUUAAUUUAUAAUCAAAUUUUAAUCCCAUCCUUUGAAGGGACAUGUUAGAAUAGAUCAAUAGUCAUGAUUAUGUUAUAGAAUUAAAAAACACAAAUAUGAAAAUUAAAUA